AGCUUGACGGAAGCAAUGCCGCGUGGGUGAUGAAGUUUUUCGGAUCGUAAAGCUUCUGUUUGCCAGGGAAGAACGCUUGGGAGAGUAACUCGCUCUCAAGGUGACGGUACCCGAGAAGAAAGCCCCGGCUAACUACAUGCCACAGCCGCGGUAA
RNAcentral lists this ribosomal RNA (154 nucleotides) under uncultured bacterium. RNAcentral's name for it is "partial 16S ribosomal RNA". It matches the Rfam family "Bacterial small subunit ribosomal RNA", at positions 380 to 523 of the family's 1533-position model. The record is from RNAcentral.